UGGCGUGUCGUCAGCUCGUGUCGUGAGAUGUUGGGUUAAGUCCCGUAACGAGCGCAGCCCUUGUCCUUAGUUACCAGCACGUUAUGGUGGGCACUCUAAGGAGACUGCCGGUGACAAACCGGAGGAAGGUGGGGAUGACGUCAAGUCAUCAUGGCCCUUACGGCCUGGGCUACACACGUGCUACAAUGGUCGGUACAAAGGGUUGCCAAGCCGCGAGGUGGAGCUAAUCCCAUAAAACCGAUCGUAGUCCGGAUCGCAGUCUGCAACUCGACUGCGUGAAGUCGGAAUCGCUAGUAAUCGUGAAUCAGAAUGUCACGGUGAAUACGUUCCCGGGCCUU
This 338-nucleotide ribosomal RNA is filed under the name uncultured Pseudomonas sp. RNAcentral's name for it is "bacterial SSU rRNA". It matches the Rfam family "Bacterial small subunit ribosomal RNA", at positions 1046 to 1382 of the family's 1533-position model. Lineage: Bacteria; Pseudomonadati; Pseudomonadota; Gammaproteobacteria; Pseudomonadales; Pseudomonadaceae. The record is from RNAcentral.